CAGAUUUUAUUAGGUUGGAUGCUUAAAUUAAAAAAAUAAGUUACGAUACCCGACGCAGUUCUAGAAACAACGACAAUUCUCACUAUAAUUUGAAAUUGCGGCAGUUUGGAACGACAAAAUUGAACAAUCAAAAUGGGAAGAAGAAUGAAAAAGAAACAAGAAUUGAUCAAUAGGGAAGAAUAAAGAAGAAGAAAUUUGAAUGAAUGAAAUGUUUUUGUUCUCACGUUCGGGGUUCU
This 236-nucleotide long non-coding RNA is filed under the name Medicago truncatula (barrel medic). RNAcentral describes it as "long non-coding RNA (MTRU_LNC006715)". The record is from RNAcentral. Lineage: Eukaryota; Viridiplantae; Streptophyta; Magnoliopsida; Fabales; Fabaceae.